Molecule: long non-coding RNA, 403 nt
Filed under: Salvia miltiorrhiza (redroot sage)
Lineage: Eukaryota; Viridiplantae; Streptophyta; Magnoliopsida; Lamiales; Lamiaceae
Description: long non-coding RNA (SMIL_LNC004897)
Source: RNAcentral
CCCAGCUAUCGGAGUACGGCAAGAUCCAUCCAAUUUCUCUAGGAAUGCUCUCUCACACGCAACUGCUAAUCUGGUAUCCUCAUGAUUCAAGGCUGCCAAAUAAGUAGCCUGAAGAGACAAUGCUUCAAUUAGAUGAGGAAAAAAAAAAAACUUUUAAAUCAUCAUGGUACACCAUGAUGUUUCAUGAGAUUAGAUAUGUGGAUAAUAGCUCAAUCAUCAUUCCCUGUCCAGGAGAGACACAGAGAGAGAGAGAGAGGACAUACCAUCUUUUCAUCAUCACUUCUACAUGCAAUUCCUAUAGCCCCUUGAGCUACAGCAGGGAGCAUGUCAUCAAUGGAUAGAAUGGAUGUAACAUUUUCUGUCAUGUUUAGGCGCUUCAAUCCAGCUAAUGCCAAUAAUGUUG